This 393-nucleotide long non-coding RNA is filed under the name Homo sapiens (human). RNAcentral's name for it is "HSALNT0160758". Lineage: Eukaryota; Metazoa; Chordata; Mammalia; Primates; Hominidae. The record is from RNAcentral.
UGGCCAUGGUAAGCCGCCCUUGCUUCCCCUUCACCUUCCACCAUGAUUGCAAGUUGCCUGAGGCCCCCCCAGAGGCAGAAGCCUGUACAGCCUGCAGAACUGCAAAUGUAGCAUUUCCCUACCACGGCACCAGGAGGCUCUAAAGGGAUGAAUAUGGCUGUACUUGGAAGGCCAAGGAAAUCCUAGGAGCAUGGAAUGAGGUGGAACAAUCUAAUUCUGCUCUCACCUGACUACAGCGUAAGCCACCUGAGUAGAGCUCUACACCUGACUACAGCAAAAGAAAGACGCCAAUAGGAAAUGACAGCAGAAAAAAGUCUUAUUUCAACUCAACUUUAUUUUCCCUUCUCCUUUAUGGUAACUGAAGGUGAAUGAGAUAAUUACACACAGUUUUCC